GCAAGUUGAAUAGUCUAAAAAUGGAAGGGCUUAUAAAAAGGCUAACACCAAGAACCUUCUGAGUAUGAAACAAAUUGCUUUGAAAAGUAUGAAAUAAUGGUAGUCAAGAAGUAGUGUUUAUAUCCUACUGAAAACAUGUGGUGAGGUGAGAGAAUACAACAGGGCAGAACUGCUGUAAACACAGGAAGCGGCCGCCUAACCCUGCAAGUGGUUUUAACAACAGGGCUAAUCCAGAGCUGCUAACUCUACGAUCACCCGGGGAAGGCUAACAGAGACGGGAUAGAACUCCAGGGUUCACACGUAUGAGACACCAGCUGAUUCCAGCCUGGCAUUGCAAUGUUCUUUUCAAGAAUGUGAAUGCUGCAAUCUCUUGAACCAUAGCACCACAAGUCAUAGCACCACGAGCUGCACACUACAGAACUCUGGAGGGAAUCUGUCCAGGGAGCUCUUCAGCCUCCACUUCUAUGCUUCUGGCCCAAGAGUUCCUGAGCCCAAGAUCGAAGAUCUGGGCGGUGGAAGCCCCGGACCCCUCCAUCUGCCCACAACCGCGCACCUCCACCUUCGCGACAGCCUCCCAGGCCGCGGCUCACUUACGCCGGCCCUCCGUCUGUUUUUGUGGUUGAGAGGGACGGAGAAUCGCGACAAACUCUUCCUGCGGCCCCCACCUCCGCAGAGCUUCCGCUUCCGCUGCCUCUAGAGUCUUCCGAAGAAGUGUCAUCGGGGGAUGGGCCUGGGCGGGCCUCACUGCGUCCAUGUUAAGUGUGGCUCCAUCCCAGCAAAGCAGCCAUGUUAAGAGUGGCAUUUCCUGAAGCCUUUCAGCCUGCCCUUCUUCCGGUGACGUAAGGCUCCCCACCGGAAACGCCGGGAAUCUUAGCUACUGCAGUUGGUACCUUGCAGCUCUUCCGUGGUGCUGGUAACUCUUGUGAUCCUGGAUAUACACUGUCUCUCCUCUUCUUCAUUGGCAAAAUGAAUGGUGCAAUAAAAAUAUUUUCCAGCUACAAA
This is a long non-coding RNA of Rattus norvegicus (Norway rat), 1002 nucleotides long. RefSeq lists it as uncharacterized. Lineage: Eukaryota; Metazoa; Chordata; Mammalia; Rodentia; Muridae. The record is from RefSeq and is a predicted model, not a curated record.